This 389-nucleotide ribosomal RNA is filed under the name uncultured bacterium. RNAcentral describes it as "bacterial SSU rRNA". It matches the Rfam family "Bacterial small subunit ribosomal RNA", at positions 945 to 1335 of the family's 1533-position model. The record is from RNAcentral.
UUUAAUUGGAAGCAACGCGAAGAACCUUACCAGGUCUUGACAUCCCGCUGACCGCUCUGGAGACAGAGCUUCCUCUCGGGGCAGCGGUGACAGGUGGCGCAGGGUUGUCGUCAGCUCGUGUCGUGAGAUGUUGGGUUAAGUCCCGCAACGAGCGCAACCCUUAUCUUUAGUUGCCAGCAUUCAGUUGGGCACUCUAGAGAGACUGCCGUCGACAAGACGGAGGAAGGCGGGGAUGACGUCAAAUCAUCAUGCCCCUUAUGACCUGGGCUACACACGUGCUACAAUGGUUGGUACAACGGGAUGCUACCUCGCGAGAGGACGCCAAUCUCUUAAAACCAAUCUCAGUUCGGAUUGUAGGCUGCAACUCGCCUACAUGAAGUCGGAAUCGC